AGGUUGAUCCCGCCGGACCUGACUGCUAUCGGAUUGGUACUAAGCCAUGCGAGUGAUCGUACAAUACGACGCAGACGGCUCAGUAACACGUAGUCAACCUAACUCAUGGAGGGGGAUAAUCUCGGGAAACUGAGGAUAAACCCUCAUAGAUAAUGGUGCCUGNAAUGGCCCAUUGUUGAAAUAGUUUACUGCCGUGGGAUGGGACUGCGGCCUAUCAGCUUGUUGGUGAGGUAAUGGCCCACCAAGGCUAUAACAGGUACGGGCUCUGAGAGGAGAAGCCCGGAGAUGGGUACUGAGACACGGACCCAGGCCCUAUGGGGCGCAGCAGGCGAGAAACCUUAGCAAUGUGCGAAAGCACGACUGGGUCAGUCCGAGUGAUUUCUGAUAAAGGAAUCUUUUGCCCGUUGUAAACGCACGGGCGAAUAAGGGGUGGGCAAGUCUGGUGUCAGCCGCCGCGGUAAUACCAGCACCUCGAGUGGUCAGGACGAUUAUUGGGCCUAAAGCAUCCGUAGCUGGUCUUGCAAGUCUCCGGUUAAAUCCACCUUGCUCAACAGAUGGGCCGCUGGAGAUACU
RNAcentral lists this ribosomal RNA (573 nucleotides) under uncultured archaeon. Its description in RNAcentral is "bacterial SSU rRNA". It matches the Rfam family "Archaeal small subunit ribosomal RNA", at positions 5 to 585 of the family's 1478-position model. The record is from RNAcentral.